Molecule: transfer RNA, 45 nt
Filed under: Carpoglyphus lactis (prune mite)
Lineage: Eukaryota; Metazoa; Arthropoda; Arachnida; Sarcoptiformes; Carpoglyphidae
Description: tRNA-Tyr
Source: RNAcentral
AGGUGACUUUAAAAAGGAGCUGUAAACUCUUUAAUUUAUCAUCAA